UACAGAGGGUGUGAGCGUUGUUCGGAAUUAUUGGGCGUAAAGCGCGUGUAGGCGGUUAGGUGUGUCAGAUGUGAAAUCCCCAGGCUCAACCUGGGAACUGCAUCUGAAACUGCUUAACUGGAGUACGGGAGAGGAGAGUGGAAUUCCUAGUGUAGAGGUGAAAUUCGUAGAUACUAGGAGGAACACCGGAUGCGAAGGCGGCUCUCUGGACCGAUACUGACGCUGAGACGCGAAAGCGUGGGGAUCAAACAGG
RNAcentral lists this ribosomal RNA (253 nucleotides) under uncultured bacterium. RNAcentral describes it as "partial 16S ribosomal RNA". It matches the Rfam family "Bacterial small subunit ribosomal RNA", at positions 524 to 776 of the family's 1533-position model. The record is from RNAcentral.